CAUGCAUAGUUCAUCAUAAUGAGACGACGUUUCCAGAAAUACAUAAAACAGAAAUCCUUGUAGUUUAUUAUCCAGUAAGAGAUGAUUUAAAUGUAACAGUACCAAUUCUAAUUGAACAUCAACCAGACAUUUUGACAUGUGAGGUUUCUGACGGCAAUCCCUUGCCCGACGUUUGGUGGACAUGCAGCGAAAUGCCUUAUGAUAAUGUUACAUCGAUUGUCACACAUAAUUCAUCUACUUCGAUCUUGCAUAUAACGCCAACUGCCGAUUACCACAACAAAAUGUGUACCUGCAUCGGGAAGCAAAAUAACACAACGUUUGAAGAAAUUUCCAAAACAUCAGUGUUGCAUGUGUUAUAUUCAGUAAGUCAGGUGACAGUGUCUUCAACUGACCUUUUGGCUGGACUCCGAUCUUAUCUCAUAUGCCGGGUCGCAGGUGGUAAUCCAAGACCAGAUGCAAAAUGGUUUUGCAAUGGCGAAUUGCAAACAUAUUUUUCAAUUAGAUCACCAGACGCCGUCUUGGCACUAAUGUCAUUUAUUCCAACUGCAGCGCAUGAAGGCAAGCGAUGUACAUGUGUUGUAAGCCAGCCUGGAACGAAUUUCCACGAAAUGUCAGAAUCCUUGGUUCUACGUGUAAC
Long non-coding RNA from Mytilus trossulus (common blue mussel), 637 nucleotides. RefSeq lists it as uncharacterized. Lineage: Eukaryota; Metazoa; Mollusca; Bivalvia; Mytilida; Mytilidae. The transcript is spliced from 3 exons. The record is from RefSeq and is a predicted model, not a curated record.